Molecule: ribosomal RNA, 253 nt
Filed under: uncultured bacterium
Lineage: Bacteria
Description: partial 16S ribosomal RNA
Rfam family: Bacterial small subunit ribosomal RNA
Source: RNAcentral
GACGUAGGGCGCGAGCGUUGUCCGGAUUUAUUGGGCGUAAAGAGCUCGUAGGCGGCUCGUUGCGUCGGCUGUGAAAACCCGCAGCUCAACUGUGGGCUUGCAGCCGAUACGGGCGGGCUGGGAUUCGGUAGGGGAGACUGGAAUUCCUGGUGUAGCAGUGAAAUGCGUAGAUAUCAGGAGGAACACCGAUGGCGAAGGCAGGUCUCUGGGCUGACACUGACGCUCAUGCACGAAAGCGUGGGGAGCAAACAGG